RNAcentral lists this ribosomal RNA (497 nucleotides) under uncultured bacterium. RNAcentral describes it as "partial 16S ribosomal RNA". It matches the Rfam family "Bacterial small subunit ribosomal RNA", at positions 28 to 507 of the family's 1533-position model. The record is from RNAcentral.
GAUGAACGCUGGCGGCGUGCCUAAUACAUGCAAGUCGAGCGAACGGACGAGAAGCUUGCUUUUCUGAUGUUAGCGGCGGACGGGUGAGUAACACGUGGAUAACCUACCUAUAAGACUGGGAUAACUUCGAGAAACCGGAGCUAAUACCGGAUAAUAUUUUGAACCGCAUGGUUCAAAAGUGAAAGACGGUCUUGCUGUCACUUAUAGAUGGAUCCGCGCUGCAUUAGCCAGUUGGUAAGGUAACGGCUUACCAAGGCAACGAUGCAUAGCCGACCUGAGAGGGUGAUCGGCCACACUGGAACUGAGACACGGUCCAGACUCCUACGGGAGGCAGCAGUAGGGAAUCUUCCGCAAUGGGCGAAAGCCUGACGGAGCAACGCCGCGUGAGUGAUGAAGGUCUUCGGAUCGUAAAACUCUGUUAUUAGGGAAGAACAUAUGUGUAAGUAACUGUGCACAUCUUGACGGUACCUAAUCAGAAAGCCACGGCUAACUACGUG